CAACCUACCAAACAAGCUAAUCUGUAUCAAUUGGGUCUGGCUAAUGCUCAUCCGAGCUACCAAACGAGACCAAAGUGUUCGGCGGUGGCGUGCGCUGCCGCGGGUGCAACGAGAAAGGCCUCGUCAUGUGCCCGCUCUGCUUGAUUGGCAGGACGAGGAGCGCAGCGACAGCGGUGGCCAUGGUGCGUGGGCGAGUGCAUGGUACGCGUGUCCUCGGCAGCGGCUGUGGCAAGGUGGCAUGAGGGCAUCCAGCAGUAGCAGCAGCAACGACAGUGCUCGCGGCGCUCACAGGGUGCUCGACGAAAUGCUUGAAGAAGGAAGAAGGGACAAGAGAGGAGACGUCCAGUCAACGCGCCAUGUCAUCGAUAGAUACAUGCGUGGAAGGGUAUAGAUCUAGAUGACACAACUUGACGUCCAGUCAACGCGCCAUGUCAUCGAUAGAUACACAGUGGAAGGAUAGGGAUCCAGAUGACAUAACUUACAAAGUUUACAGAGUUUAUGUACUUAGAAAUGUACUUUCAAAUUACAAAGUUUACAGAGUUUAUGUACUUAGAAAUGUACUUUCAAAUUUUGGGUCCUUUUAGGGACCCAAGUGACACUCCGUUACAAGUUAGUGGACCACCUCUUAAGUGCA
Molecule: long non-coding RNA, 634 nt
Organism: Setaria italica (foxtail millet)
Lineage: Eukaryota; Viridiplantae; Streptophyta; Magnoliopsida; Poales; Poaceae
Exons: 2
Source: RefSeq, a predicted model, not a curated record